This is a long non-coding RNA of Zea mays, 303 nucleotides long. RefSeq lists it as uncharacterized. NCBI's taxonomy places the organism in Eukaryota, Viridiplantae, Streptophyta, Magnoliopsida, Poales, Poaceae. The transcript is spliced from 2 exons. The record is from RefSeq and is a predicted model, not a curated record.
AGGAGGAUAGGCUAAUAACAGUUUCACUUGCAAGCAAGAUGGUUGAAUCUGCUAAGUUUCAGGCUAUCCAGGCGCGCUUUUAUGAGGGGAAAGAACCGAUUCAGUUCUUUGUGAUUAUCAAUCAGUGCGGGAGUGAUGUCGUUGUGGUGCUUUUGAACCUAUUAUUAGAAUGCAUCAGUCAAACUCGUCUUCAGUCUAGUGGCGUUGUACUCCCAUUUCAACAAACUGUAAAUGAUCUAGUUGUGAAUGAUAUUAUAAUUGUGAUGCUUUUGUGAAUAUAUAAUUGUGGUGCUUUUGUGUUUA